UGAAAUGACCACUGGCUUGGACAUAGGGA
Molecule: non-coding RNA, 29 nt
Filed under: Mus musculus (house mouse)
Lineage: Eukaryota; Metazoa; Chordata; Mammalia; Rodentia; Muridae
Source: RNAcentral